This 465-nucleotide ribosomal RNA is filed under the name Vreelandella stevensii. RNAcentral describes it as "partial 16S ribosomal RNA". It matches the Rfam family "Bacterial small subunit ribosomal RNA", at positions 338 to 795 of the family's 1533-position model. The record is from RNAcentral. Lineage: Bacteria; Pseudomonadati; Pseudomonadota; Gammaproteobacteria; Oceanospirillales; Halomonadaceae.
CCUACGGGUGGCAGCAGUGGGGAAUAUUGGACAAUGGGCGAAAGCCUGAUCCAGCCAUGCCGCGUGUGUGAAGAAGGCCUUCGGGUUGUAAAGCACUUUCAGUGGGGAAGAAAGCCUUGGGGCUAAUACCCUCGAGGAAGGACAUCACCCACAGAAGAAGUACCGGCUAACUCCGUGCCAGCAGCCGCGGUAAUACGGAGGGUGCGAGCGUUAAUCGGAAUUACUGGGCGUAAAGCGCGCGUAGGCGGUCUGAUAAGCCGGUUGUGAAAGCCCCGGGCUCAACCUGGGAACGGCAUCCGGAACUGUCAGGCUAGAGUGCAGGAGAGGAAGGUAGAAUUCCCGGUGUAGCGGUGAAAUGCGUAGAGAUCGGGAGGAAUACCAGUGGCGAAGGCGGCCUUCUGGACUGACACUGACGCUGAGGUGCGAAAGCGUGGGUAGCAAACAGGAUUAGAUACCCUAGUAGUC